GCAUAUCAAUAAGCGGAGGAAAAGAAACUAACAAGGAUUCCCUUAGUAACGGCGAGUGAAGCGGGAAGAGCUCAAAUUUGAAAUCUUCAAGGUUCUACCUUGACGAAUUGUAGUUUAAAGAAGUGUUUACUGUUAGAUGAGUAGCAAAAGUUCCUUGGAAUGGGACAUCAUAGAGGGUGAGAAUCCCGCAUUUGGUUAUUCAUUCUAGCUUUGUGAUACACUUUCAAAGAGUCGGAUUGUUUGGGAAUGCAGUCCAAAAUGGGUGGUAAAUUUCAUCUAAAGCUAAAUAUUGGCGAGAGACCGAUAGCGAACAAGUACCGUGAGGGAAAGAUGAAAAGAACUUUGAAAAGAGAGUUAAACAGUACGUGAAAUUGUCAAAAGGGAAGCGUUUGACACCAGUGUUGUUUUUCCGAAAAUCAAUUACGAAUGGCUUGAUUUUGUGUUGUAUUGACCUUAUCAGCUUUCUGCACUUUUUUCGAGUCUUUCUUAAUGCACUUUUCGGUUAACAAGUCAACAUCAAUUUCUUUUGUUGUAAAAGAGUAUUCGGAAGGUGGCUUUCUUUUCGGAGAAAGUGUUUAUAGCCCUAUACUUCUACAAUCGGAGAGAUUGAGGUCUGCAGCGUAGAUCCUUCGGGGUUAGAUACAUUUGUGCUAAGUUGUAGCUUUUCAUAGACAACUUGUUGACUAUGUUUAGUCAUGCGGCUUACUCGCUUAUGCUAUUUUACCUACGCUUAGGAUGUUGACAAAAUGGUUUUAAACGACCCGUCUUGAAACACGGACC
This 780-nucleotide ribosomal RNA is filed under the name Neocallimastix frontalis. RNAcentral's name for it is "partial large subunit ribosomal RNA". It matches the Rfam family "Eukaryotic large subunit ribosomal RNA", at positions 38 to 667 of the family's 3401-position model. The record is from RNAcentral. Lineage: Eukaryota; Fungi; Neocallimastigomycota; Neocallimastigomycetes; Neocallimastigales; Neocallimastigaceae.